UUGCUAGAUGGCAGCUUCUACAGCCAAUAUUCUUUUUUAUAAAAGCUGGGAUGAUCAAGGACAGCAUCCAACACAGGUAAAAGGAAUAGUAUCUCAAUGUUAUCUUGUUCAUGAAGAAUGAUAAAAACAGAAGAAAACAAUUGGAGGUUUUUAUGCUGCAUUUUCUCUCAGAUGAUUCUGAUGUAUGCAUGAUUUGUUGACAGCCAGGUUUUCUAUGUACGGAAGUUUGCUUCACCAUUAGAACUACAGGGGAAAAAAUACUUGAAACCUCAACGAAUUAUGAUGACAUAAUUGUUCUUACUUGUCAGAUUAGGAAGUACAUUACUUCAUCAGAAAACAUUCCUUAAGGUUGCUGUGAAUUCUUUGAGGUCAUCACAAGGAAAUAGAAGUCAACCGGUUCAUGAUGCUAGUUGUAAUAGAAAAAUCAGAUAUUGCUCUGGUUUUCUAGAAGUGGCUUUGAGGAGUGAUGUUGCCUUAUCAAGCUUGCGUUCAGAAAGAAAGAUUUGGUGAGAUUAUGCAUAGACCUUUAUAAAGAAAUUCAUGGCAAGUGCAUUGUGGACAAAGAGGUGUUAGAUGUGCUUCCUAAGCAUCCUCACCCAAGACUUGAUGAGAUCUUGUCUGUUGUUGGGCUUCUUCAGGAUGAACUUGAUCCUAUGGUUUCUGUCAUGAAAGUUGAAAAAGCUCCUUUGGAAUCUUAUGCUGAUAUUGGUGGCUUAGAUGCACAAAUUCAAUAAAUUAAAGAAGCUGUUGAACUUCCUCUUACU
Musa acuminata subsp. malaccensis (wild Malaysian banana) is the source of this 764-nucleotide non-coding RNA. Lineage: Eukaryota; Viridiplantae; Streptophyta; Magnoliopsida; Zingiberales; Musaceae. The record is from RefSeq and is a predicted model, not a curated record.